This 350-nucleotide unclassified non-coding RNA is filed under the name plant metagenome. RNAcentral describes it as "partial contains 5.8S ribosomal RNA, internal transcribed spacer 2, and large subunit ribosomal RNA". The stretch from base 1 to 105 matches the Rfam family "5.8S ribosomal RNA", at positions 50 to 154 of the family's 154-position model. The record is from RNAcentral.
GAAAUGCGAUACGUAAUGUGAAUUGCAGAAUUCAGUGAAUCAUCGAAUCUUUGAACGCACCUUGCGCUCCUUGGUAUUCCGAGGAGCAUGCCUGUUUGAGUGUCAUGGAAUUCUCAACUCUAUUUGCUUUUGUGAAUAGAGCUUGGAUUUGGAGGUUUAUUGCUGGUACUUGUGAUCGGCUCCUCUUGAAUGCAUUAGCUCGAACCUUUGCGGAUCAGCUAUCGGUGUGAUAAUUGUCUACGCCGUUGCAGUGAAGCAUAUCAAUGGGCUCGGCUUCCAAUCGUCCUUUACUGGACAAUGACUUUGACCUUUGACCUCAAAUCAGGUAGGAUUACCCGCUGAACUUAAGC